UGGGGGAUAUUGCACAAUGGGCGAAAGCCUGAUGCAGCGACGCCGCGUGGGGGAUGAAGGCCUUCGGGUUGUAAACUUCUUUUGCUCUGAACAAGGCAUGCUAAUGGGUGUGUUGAGUGUAGGGGUUGAUUAGCGCCGGCUAACUACGUGCCAGCAGCCGCGGUAAUACGUAGGGCGCGAGCGUUGUCCGGAAUUAUUGGGCGUAAAGGGCUUGUAGGUGGCUGGUUGCGUCUGUCGUGAAAGCUCAUGGCUUAACUGUGGGUUUGCGGUGGGUACGGGCUGGCUUGAGUGCAGUAGGGGAGGCUGGAAUUCCUGGUGUAGCGGUGGAAUGCGAAGAUAUCAGGAGGAAUACCGGUGGCGAAGGCGGGUCUCUGGGCUGUUACUGACACUGAGGAGCGAAAGCAUGGGGAGCGAACAGG
Molecule: ribosomal RNA, 419 nt
Filed under: bacterium
Lineage: Bacteria
Description: partial 16S ribosomal RNA
Rfam family: Bacterial small subunit ribosomal RNA
Source: RNAcentral